CUCCAAAUAAAAAAUGCAAGAAAGUAGAUGCCUCCUACGAUUGACAGAGUUCUCCAGAACAGGGGUUGAUCUAAUUGAUAGGUUGGUGCAGUUCAUCAAACCAGGAUGCCUUCCACUGAUUCAGUUCUCCUCCCACGAGUUCAAGGAAACCCUAAUGAAAAAAGGAAGCUUUCAU
Long non-coding RNA from Helianthus annuus (common sunflower), 175 nucleotides. RefSeq lists it as uncharacterized. The record is from RefSeq and is a predicted model, not a curated record. Lineage: Eukaryota; Viridiplantae; Streptophyta; Magnoliopsida; Asterales; Asteraceae. The transcript has 3 exons.